CCCAUCUUGCUGUGGUGCCUUCUUUAGGAAAGGAAUGAUUUUUAGUCUACACUAUCUGUGGAAGGCUCAGUUUAUUCUUUUACCUUUCUGUUCAAGGAGCUAUCUUGAAAAAGUUUAGUCAUCAGUGCCUACUCUCUUUUCUUCACCCCUCCCCAGACUGUCUGGCUCCUCAUUGUAUGAGAACAUUCUUUCUCCAUCAGAAAUGACUGUGGGAAGUGUUGAAGGCAUUCUUUACCAGCUCUCCCCGGUGCACCGUUCGCCUGACAUAGG
Long non-coding RNA from Elgaria multicarinata webbii, 270 nucleotides. RefSeq lists it as uncharacterized. The transcript has 3 exons. NCBI's taxonomy places the organism in Eukaryota, Metazoa, Chordata, Lepidosauria, Squamata, Anguidae. The record is from RefSeq and is a predicted model, not a curated record.